AAAAGAGAAAAGAAAUGAGGGAACAAGAAUAUUCAGAGAACUUGGAAGCAAAUGGAUAAAAAUCAGGAAACAAAAUGGAUUAAACUGAAUCUAAAGGUCUCAGUGAAGGACUGUGGUUUCAAAAUUGAUCAAAAACAAAGAUUUAACAUGUAUGUCAUGUGAUCAGCAGACUAAGCAGAGAUGCCCAGACCUCCCCUUUCUCCACAUCCAAUUCUUCAUGGGUGAUGACCAAGGCAGCCGACAGGUAUAAUCUCUCCAUCAUGUCCUGGGUUGGCCCACUGGGUGAAUGAGACAAACUGAACCAACUGUGCUAUUGUUGUGAUGGAUGUGAAAGGUUAAGGUUCACUACAGUUUCAGCACUUUGAUGGCAGGUGUGUUUACUCAUUACUGUCCCAUGCCCAUCUCUGGUCAUAACAGUAAAGACAAAGGUAAUUGUUGUUUUUCUUACCUAACCAUAUCCAUCAUGUAAAUUAUCUCGACAAGCAUUUAGUGGUCUGGUAGAGUGGGUCAGUACAUGGACAAUGUCAAAACUCUAGAUUAACCCAUUAACCCUCUGAUAACCCUAAUCCUAACCCUAAUACACUUAUUACUAUCACAAUAUGUCAUUUUUAUUCUUUUUAAAAUUUGUUCCCUC
Oreochromis aureus is the source of this 634-nucleotide long non-coding RNA. Lineage: Eukaryota; Metazoa; Chordata; Actinopteri; Cichliformes; Cichlidae. The record is from Ensembl.